Pelobates cultripes (western spadefoot toad) is the source of this 227-nucleotide non-coding RNA. The record is from the annotation of a GenBank genome assembly. NCBI's taxonomy places the organism in Eukaryota, Metazoa, Chordata, Amphibia, Anura, Pelobatidae.
GGACUGGCAGGAGGGAGCACUGUGCGCUUCCCUCCUGCUGGUCCCUCAUAUCUUGCUCCCCCAGGCCAGGGCUCCCUCAUGGACGUGCCGACCUGGGCAGUGCUGCAGCCUCCUGAGGCUCUCUAUAGAGUGCUCAGGCGGCUGCAGCCUGAAGGGGGCCAAUAGGAAGCGCCGGCCCUGCUGACAACCCUAUGAUUAUAGGCCAAUCCCCUAUUGCAUAAUAGGAU